This 254-nucleotide ribosomal RNA is filed under the name uncultured bacterium. RNAcentral's name for it is "partial 16S ribosomal RNA". It matches the Rfam family "Bacterial small subunit ribosomal RNA", at positions 524 to 776 of the family's 1533-position model. The record is from RNAcentral.
UACGAAGGGGGCUAGCGUUGCUCGGAAUCACUGGGCGUAAAGCGCACGUAGGCGGCUUGUUAAGUCAGGGGUGAAAUCCUGGAGCUCAACUCCAGAACUGCCUUUGAUACUGGCGAGCUUGAGUUCGGGAGAGGUGAGUGGAACUGCGAGUGUAGAGGUGAAAUUCGUAGAUAUUCGCAAGAACACCAGUGGCGAAGGCGGCUCACUGGCCCGAUACUGACGCUGAGUGAGCGAAAGCCAGGGGAGCAAACGGG